GAUGAACGCUAGCGGCAGGCCUAACACAUGCCAGUCGAGGGGUAGAAGGAGCUUGCUCCUUUGAGACCGGCGCACGGGUGCGUAACGCGUAUGCAAUCUACCUUGUACAGGGGAAUAGCCCAGAGAAAUUUGGAUUAAUGCCCCAUAGUAUAUAACCUUCGCAUGUUGGUUAUAUUAAAGUUCCAACGGUACAAGAUGAGCAUGCGUCCCAUUAGUUAGUUGGUAAGGUAACGGCUUACCAAGACGAUGAUGGGUAGGGGUCCUGAGAGGGAGAUCCCCCACACUGGUACUGGGACACGGACCAGACUCCUACGGGAGGCAGCAGUGAGGAAGAUUGGUCAAUGGUCGCAAGACUGAACCAGCCAUGCCGCGUGCAGGAAGACGGUCCUAUGGAUUGUAAACUGCUUUUAUACAGGAAGAAACCCUCCCACGUGUGGGAGCUUGACGGUACUGUAGGAAUAAGGAUCGGCUAACUCCGUG
This 480-nucleotide ribosomal RNA is filed under the name uncultured bacterium. Its description in RNAcentral is "partial 16S ribosomal RNA". It matches the Rfam family "Bacterial small subunit ribosomal RNA", at positions 28 to 507 of the family's 1533-position model. The record is from RNAcentral.